Long non-coding RNA from Astatotilapia calliptera (eastern happy), 3535 nucleotides. The record is from Ensembl. Lineage: Eukaryota; Metazoa; Chordata; Actinopteri; Cichliformes; Cichlidae.
CACAUUUUCAUAAAUUUAUUUCUUUAUUUAAUUCUGUUUGUUAUGACAGUAUUUAUUUCAGAUUGCUUUUAUUGAUUUUCAAUGAUCAUAUAUUGAACUAUGUGUAAGAUUUUUAUUUUUCUUAAAAUUAAAACUAAUAUAUGUUUUAAAACAUCCACCAUGGAGUUUACGAGAAGCUUCUACGAGACAAAAUACUGACAAACUGACCAAAAGAAGGAAAAGUCCCCUCCAGUAAAACAUUUAAAUUUAUUCAUUCAUAACGUCUUUGCUGGUGCUAUUAUUAUGAUAAAGUUAAACACACUGACUGGUUAUCUAAAAGCAGAAAACACGGUGAAUAAAACACGGUGAAUAAUAGGCUGAUAAUGCAUUAAAAUCUUUAGUUCUGUGCAAAACUGUAGACCAGAGAAAAAUGUGGGCGCUCUCGUCCUUCCGGAUCUUCUCUGAGUGGUUGUGGGAGUCGGGUUUUCUUCCUUUUGCUUCAGUUCCCUUUCAUUUCGUCUCCCAGCUCGAACAGAUCAUCCAUCAGAUCUGAGACAAACCAAGAAGACAGAGGAUAGGUUACUAACUCUAAACAGAUUAUACGUGAGUCUGGGCUGCUGAUACGUCAGUCGGAGGUUCACUAAAGACAACUUAAACCAGUGAGUGAUGAAGGCGUAAAGUCAUGACAUACUUAAACCAAAAGAUGCAACACGUGUGUGAAUAUAUCUGCUUUGGAUUUCUGGACUCAUCCAGAAUCCCAGUACCUAAAAACCCCUUUAACUUUUAUCAAGGCUUCCUCUGAAUGGCUGACUUCAGGAAGCCUGCUGAGGGGCAAAAACUGGUGCUUGCAGCGAGCACCCUGCCUGUAGCUGAUUCUUUCUUUUGUCACUUCCUGACAUGUUUUCUUUUAGCAACAACUUCCUGACUUUAAGCCUUCAUGGCUUCAUCUUCAGUGAGCGGACAGCUGAGCACCAACAGGAGGGUCUCUUUAUCCCUACCUCUGUCUGUUGUGACUCCUUCCUGUCCUACAGGUCCAGCUGAUCCUCCACUUCCUCCUGCACCUCCUCCCAUCGUCGGUCCCACGCUCCCUCCUGCACCUCCUCCCAUCGUCGGUCCCACGCUCCCUCCUGUAGUUCCCGCUAAAUUCCCUUCGGGUACUGGUUUCUUGCCCCCACUAUCAUCUUUGUUGGGCACAUUUGGGAGGGGCGCUCCUUUAUCGUCUUUGUCCUUAUUUUUGUUCUUGUUGCCUCCAAACAUCGAGAAGAUGCCGCCUCCUCCUCCUUUCUUCUCACCUUUGUUCUUGUUGGCUGAAUUCAGAGCUCCCUUCACUGCCCCCUCCACCAAGCUACCUGCUCGGAAAAAACAAACACUUUAGGUUCAAAAACAUCUUUUCUCGAUCUCCACUGCCCCCCUUCUCUGCAGCUCAGGUUUCCAACACAUUUUCCUCAUUUAAUGUUUUGAAGGCUCUGAGGAGAAACUCAGUAACGUUCCCAAAAUUCACCCAGAGGUGAGAUCCAACAGCUCUGUCUCAGACUCUGCAGGCCUCAGUAAAGGUUAAAUUUCAUGACAGCCAUACUUGUCCAUCAAAUGUGGGUUGUUUGGAGGGCUGCAGGAGAAAGCCAUAUUCUUCUCUUUAACAGAACACGGCAGCAAAGCUGCUUCUGAACAAACAACACCAAACUGCAGAUGUUUGACCGUCAUGCACAGCAGCACGUUUGGAGGAAACAAACGCCUCAGAGCAGCUGUGAGCACCGUGGAGGAGGAAUGAUGAUCUGAGUGCACCACGAGCUCCUCUCUACACCAAAGUAUUCUUGAGUCAGCGUGAGGCCGUCUGUCUCACAGAAAGUUCGGACCAAACUGGUCAUCAGCAGGACAAAGCUCUGAGCGCAGCUGCAAAUCUGCGACAGCACGUCUGCAUGGAGCUGCUGCAGAGCUCAGAGCUGAGCAUGAAUGAAUGCUGCAAACCUGAAUGAGCUGAAGCGACGCUGCAAAGAGGAACUGCUGCCCUUUAAUGGACACAGCACAUAUGUUUACAUAAUGAAAUGCAGCAGGGAGUCACAUGUCUGUUUAUCAGUUCGUCACCUUGGCGAUCUCUCGCUGGACGACAUUUUCUUCCUUUUUACAGCACCACCCUGUGCUGGUGCCGUUUGGUAUCUAACAUUACAGGACACAACAGAAACCAUCACUGCAACUUAAUGCUGCUGAAUCAGGGGGCGGAGUCAGUUUGCUUUAGUUCCUAUCAAAUAAAUGCUGACAUGAUGCAGUGCGUCACACUUUUGUUCUUCUGAGGCUGUAUCGAGUCAUUUUAGACCCGAUAAAGACCAGAUGACCUCACCUCCUCCUCCUCCUCAUCUUCUGGUGGACACUCAGGAGUGCCCCAGGGCCUCACCUAAGAGGUGCCCGGGAGGUGCCCUCAGAUGAACCCAUGUUAUGACGUGGACAAGUGGCGUCUCUACUCUGAGCCCCUCCCAAAUGACUGACUCCUCACACAGACAGGUUUUUCUAGCAAUUCCUCAGCUCUGACUCGUCCCUGACGAGGGGGGCGUGGGACUCACAUCACAGUUACGAUCAGUUAACAGGUCGGGUAUGCAUAAUUAACAAUCAUUAAUAAAUGCUUAAACACAAGUUAACUUAAUCUGAAAAGGGGAAUAUUAACUAAAACGGCAGCCUUCUCACCUGCACCAGGUAAAGUCAGGUAACCUGAACAAAAGGACGUAAAGAUGAACAAAAACGAAAGAAAAUAUGAGCUGUUUUUUUUCUUGAUACGCAGAAUAAAUCUGCCCUCUGCCUCUGAGCCUGCUUCUAACAACAAGCAACAAAACUGACCAAAGGAGCCAAAGAGGAGGUGAAGCCCGGCAGGAAGGAGCUGCUCUGACCCGUCUCGCCAACAACAAAGGCUGCGAAAAUCUCAGGUUUUACUAAUGAAACAUCUUUUCCUCUUUACAUGUCUGCAGUAGAAGAGUUUAUGCCAGUUUCACUGUUUCGAAUCAGACCAUAAACGGAUGCUUUGUUUUUUUACUCACCCGCUUUUUGGCCGGCUAUCUGUGCGAGGUUGUCCAUCUCUGCGGUGUUUCUGUCUCUGAGGCGCACUCAGGUGUGCUUUAAGUUCAGCUCUCAGGUGAGAGCGCGGCCGACGACGCCCAUCAGGUGGCUCAGCUGAGGAAUCAGGUGUGUCUGCAGAGCAGCCCGACCUGUUCCACCGGCUAAUUCAUCAUUCACAGAAGUGCUCUCCUUUUCUGUACUGAUGUUACUUCGUAUGUUUCUGUGCAUCGAACUAGUUCCAAAACAUGAGCCAACACAAACCGCCCAUCACUGAAUGUGAGCUCAAAGUGCUGCCACGCUCUUCAGGCCACAGACACUUCACACUUUAAAUAACAGUGUAUGAACUGUUAAACUGUGACUCACCUGAAAACAAAAGCAAAAUCAAGCGCCCUUCACCGCACCCUCCACCGCAUCUCCUGUACGAAAAGCACAAGUUUAAAAUAAUGGGUAUACACGACGUUCUUUCCUGCACUUCCACUUCCUGUUCCUCUUCCUCAGUUUCCUUUAUAGCCGC